UGACACCAAAUCCAGCGGAUG
This 21-nucleotide non-coding RNA is filed under the name Caenorhabditis elegans. The record is from RNAcentral. Lineage: Eukaryota; Metazoa; Nematoda; Chromadorea; Rhabditida; Rhabditidae.